CAACCAUGUUGCUUGAUUGUUGA
This 23-nucleotide non-coding RNA is filed under the name Arabidopsis thaliana (thale cress). Lineage: Eukaryota; Viridiplantae; Streptophyta; Magnoliopsida; Brassicales; Brassicaceae. The record is from RNAcentral.